GAGAAGGUGGCUGAGUGGUUUAAGGCGGCAGACUGUAAAUCUGUUAGGUAAUUCCUAUCGCAGGUUCGAAUCCUGUUCUUCUCA
RNAcentral lists this transfer RNA (84 nucleotides) under Nitrosomonas sp. RNAcentral describes it as "tRNA-Tyr". It matches the Rfam family "tRNA". Rfam says of the family: Transfer RNA (tRNA) molecules are approximately 80 nucleotides in length. Lineage: Bacteria; Pseudomonadati; Pseudomonadota; Betaproteobacteria; Nitrosomonadales; Nitrosomonadaceae. The record is from RNAcentral. RNAcentral also lists the same sequence under 1 other name.